This 72-nucleotide transfer RNA is filed under the name Camelus bactrianus (Bactrian camel). It matches the Rfam family "tRNA". From Rfam's summary of the family: Transfer RNA (tRNA) molecules are approximately 80 nucleotides in length. Their secondary structure includes four short double-helical elements and three loops (D, anti-codon, and T loops). The record is from Rfam by way of RNAcentral. RNAcentral also lists the same sequence under 2 other names. Lineage: Eukaryota; Metazoa; Chordata; Mammalia; Artiodactyla; Camelidae.
GAGGGUAUAGCUUAGUAGCAGAGUGCGUGCUUAGCAGGCAUGAGGUCCUGGGUUCAAUCCCUGGUAACUCUU